GGAGGCAGCAGUAGGGAGUAUUUGGCAAUGGGGGAAACCCUGACCGAGCAACGCCGCGUGUGCGAUGGAGUCCCUCAGGGACGUGAAGCACUGUGGGGGGCCGCCAAACGGGCGGGCAGGAAAUGGCCCGUCCCCGAGGAGCCCCCUAGAAAGCGACUGCUAACCACGUGCCAGCAGCAGCGGUAAUACGUGGGUCGCAAGCGUUAUCCGGAAUCAUUGGGCGUAAAGAGUGAGCAGGCGGUCCGGGAAGUCCGCGGUGAAAUGCGGGGGCUCAACCCCCGCAGGCCGCGGAUACUUCCGGUCUGGGGUGCGGGAGAGGCGGACGGAACUCCGCGUGUAGCGGUGAAAUGCACUGAUACGCGGAAGAACACCGGUGGCGAAGGCGGUCCGCCAGACCGAUACCGACGCUCAGUCACGAAAGCGUGGGGAGCAAAUAGGAUUAGAUACCCUAGUAGUCCACGCCGUAAACGAUGGGGGCCAGGGCGCGGGGUCGACCCGCGUCCGAAGCAAACGCAUUAAGCCCCCCGCCUGGGUACUACGUUCGCAAGAAUAAAACUUAAAGGAAUUGGCGGGUGCCCGCACAAGCAGUGGAGCAUGCGGUUCAAUUCGUGGCUACACGUAGAACCUUACCAGGGUUUGACAUGCCGGCAAAGGCCCCGGAGACGGGGAGAUAGCUAUGCCGGACAAAGGUGGUGCAUGGCUGUCGUCAGCUCGUGUCGUGAGAUGUUAGGUCAAGUCCUCCAACGAGCGCGACCCCCGCCGCCAGUUGCCAUCAUUCGGUUGGGCACUCUGGCGGGACCGCCGGCGACAAGCCGGAGGAAGGCGGGGAUGACGUCAAGUCAUCAUGCCCCUUAUGCCCUGGGCCACACGCGUGCUACAAUGGCCGGCACAGUGGGAAGCGACGCCGCGAGGCGGAGCGGAUCCCAAAAGCCGGUCCCAGUACGGACCGGGGGCUGCAACCCGCCCCCGCGAAGCUGGAAUUGCUAGUAAUCGCGGAUCAGCCAAGCCGCGGUGAAUGCGUUCUCGGGCAUUGCACACACUGCCCGUCACACCAUGAAAGCCUGCAACGCUCUAAGUCGCCAGCCCGACCCGCGAGGGGGGGCGGCGCCCAAGGCGGGGCCG
RNAcentral lists this ribosomal RNA (1122 nucleotides) under human gut metagenome. Its description in RNAcentral is "bacterial SSU rRNA". It matches the Rfam family "Bacterial small subunit ribosomal RNA", at positions 344 to 1470 of the family's 1533-position model. The record is from RNAcentral.